Molecule: transfer RNA, 83 nt
Filed under: Clostridia bacterium
Lineage: Bacteria; Bacillati; Bacillota; Clostridia
Description: tRNA-Lys
Rfam family: tRNA
About the family: Transfer RNA (tRNA) molecules are approximately 80 nucleotides in length.
Source: RNAcentral
GCGCGCGUCACCUAGUGGCAGGGUAACGGACUUUUAAUCCGUCGAGAUCAAUCUCAUCAGGGGUUCGAGUCCCCUCGCGCGCA